Molecule: ribosomal RNA, 445 nt
Filed under: uncultured bacterium
Lineage: Bacteria
Description: bacterial SSU rRNA
Rfam family: Bacterial small subunit ribosomal RNA
Source: RNAcentral
CUACGGGAGGCAGCAGUGGGGAAUAUUGCGCAAUGGGCGAAAGCCUGACGCAGCGACGCCGCGUGAGGGACGACGGCCUUCGGGUUGUAAACCUCUUUCAGCAGGGAAGAAGCGAAAGUGACGGUACCUGCAGAAGAAGCACCGGCUAACUACGUGCCAGCAGCCGCGGUAAUACGUAGGGUGCAAGCGUUGUCCGGAUUUAUUGGGCGUAAAGAGCUCGUAGGCGGUCUGUCACGUCGGAUGUGAAAACCCGGGGCUUAACUCCGGGCCUGCAUCCGAUACGGGCAGACUAGAGUGUGGUAGGGGAGACUGGAACUCCUGGUGUAGCGGUGAAAUGCGCAGAUAUCAGGAAGAACACCGGUGGCGAAGGCGGGUCUCUGGGCCACUACUGACGCUGAGGAGCGAAAGCGUGGGGAGCAAACAGGAUUAGAUACCCGAGUAGUCC